GAUGAACGCUAGCUACAGGCUUAACACAUGCAAGUCGAGGGGAAACGGCAUUUAGUGCUUGCACCGAAUGGACGUCGACCGGCGCACGGGUGAGUAACGCGUAUCCAACCUUCCCAUAACUAAGGAAUAACCUGCCGAAGGGCAGACUAAUACCUUAUGUAAUCCUUUGAUGGCAUCAGAUUAGGAUAAAAGAUUUAUCGGUUAUGGAUGGGGAUGCGUCUGAUUAGCUUGUUGGCGGGGUAACGGCCCACCAAGGCAACGAUCAGUAGGGGUUCUGAGAGGAAGGUCCCCCACAUUGGAACUGAGACACGGUCCAAACUCCUACGGGAGGCAGCAGUGAGGAAUAUUGGUCAAUGGACGGAAGUCUGAACCAGCCAAGUAGCGUGCAGGAAGACGGCCCUAUGGGUUGUAAACUGCUUUUGUAUGGGGAUAAAGUCAAUCACGUGUGAUUGUUUGCAGGUACCAUACGAAUAAGGACCGGCUAAUUCCGUGCCAGCAGCCGCGGUAAUACGGAAGGUUCGGGCGUUAUCCGGAUUUAUUGGGUUUAAAGGGAGCGUAGGCCGGAGAUUAAGUGUGUUGUGAAAUGUAGACGCUCAACGUCUGACUUGCAGCGCAUACUGGUUUCCUUGAGUACGCACAACGUUGGCGGAAUUCGUCGUGUAGCGGUGAAAUGCUUAGAUAUGACGAAGAACCCCGAUUGCGAAGGCAGCUGACGGGAGCGCAACUGACGCUGAAGCUCGAAGGUGCGGGUAUCGAACAGG
This 761-nucleotide ribosomal RNA is filed under the name Prevotella melaninogenica. RNAcentral's name for it is "bacterial SSU rRNA". It matches the Rfam family "Bacterial small subunit ribosomal RNA", at positions 28 to 776 of the family's 1533-position model. The record is from RNAcentral. Lineage: Bacteria; Pseudomonadati; Bacteroidota; Bacteroidia; Bacteroidales; Prevotellaceae.